UGGGGAAUAUUGGACAAUGGGGGCAACCCUGAUCCAGCCAUGCCGCGUGUGUGAAGAAGGCCUUUUGGUUGUAAAGCACUUUAAGCAGUGAAGAAGACUCCAUGGUUAAUACCCAUGGACGAUGACAUUAGCUGCAGAAUAAGCACCGGCUAACUCUGUGCCAGCAGCCGCGGUAAUACAGAGGGUGCAAGCGUUAAUCGGAAUUACUGGGCGUAAAGCGAGCGUAGGUGGCUUGAUAAGUCAGAUGUGAAAGCCCCGGGCUUAACCUGGGAGCGGCAUCUGAUACUGUUAGGCUAGAGUAGGUGAGAGGAAGGUAGAAUUCCAGGUGUAGCGGUGAAAUGCGUAGAGAUCUGGAGGAAUACCGAUGGCGAAGGCAGCCUUCUGGCAUCAUACUGACACUGAGGUUCGAAAGCGUGGGUAGCAAACA
RNAcentral lists this ribosomal RNA (427 nucleotides) under uncultured bacterium. RNAcentral describes it as "partial 16S ribosomal RNA". It matches the Rfam family "Bacterial small subunit ribosomal RNA", at positions 355 to 774 of the family's 1533-position model. The record is from RNAcentral.